AGAGUUUGAUCCUGGCUCAGGACGAACGCUGGCGGCGUGCCUAACACAUGCAAGUCGAGCGGAGAAUGCGGAUAUGUUUACAUGGAAGCAUUCUUAGCGGCGGACGGGUGAGUAACACGUGGGUAACCUGCCUCAAAGAGGGGGAUAGCCUUCCGAAAGGAAGAUUAAUACCGCAUAAGCCUGCAGUACCGCAUGGUACAGCAGGAAAAGGAGCAAUCCGCUUUGAGAUGGACCCGCGGCGCAUUAGCUAGUUGGUGAGGUAACGGCUCACCAAGGCGACGAUGCGUAGCCGACCUGAGAGGGUGAUCGGCCACAUUGGAACUGAGACACGGUCCAGACUCCUACGGGAGGCAGCAGUGGGGAAUAUUGCACAAUGGGCGAAAGCCUGAUGCAGCAACGCCGCGUGGAUGAUGAAGGCCUUCGGGUCGUAAAGUUCUUUGAUCAGGGAUGAUAAUGACAGUACCUGAAAAACAAGCCACGGCUAACUACGUGCCAGCAGCCGCGGUAAUACGUAGGUGGCGAGCGUUGUCCGGAAUUACUGGGCGUAAAGGAUGCGUAGGUGGAUACUUAAGUGGGAUGUGAAAUCCCCGGGCUCAACCCGGGAACUGCAUUCCAAACUGGGUAUCUAGAGUGCAGGAGAGGAAAGCGGAAUUCCUAGUGUAGCGGUGAAAUGCGUAGAUAUUAGGAGGAACACCAGUGGCGAAGGCGGCUUUCUGGACUGUAACUGACACUGAGGCAUGAAAGCGUGGGUAGCAAACAGGAUUAGAUACCCUGGUAGUCCACGCCGUAAACGAUGGGUACUAGGUGUAGGAGGUAUCGACCCCUUCUGUGC
Molecule: ribosomal RNA, 832 nt
Filed under: uncultured bacterium
Lineage: Bacteria
Description: bacterial SSU rRNA
Rfam family: Bacterial small subunit ribosomal RNA
Source: RNAcentral